This 263-nucleotide ribosomal RNA is filed under the name uncultured bacterium. Its description in RNAcentral is "partial small subunit ribosomal RNA". It matches the Rfam family "Bacterial small subunit ribosomal RNA", at positions 26 to 287 of the family's 1533-position model. The record is from RNAcentral.
AGAGCGAACGCUGGCGGCGUGCUUAACACAUGCAAGUCGAGUGCGCGCCUGUAGCAAUACAGGUGGCGCACGGCGCACGGGUGCGUAACACGUGGGUAAUCUGCCCUUCGAUGGGGAAUAACUCCGGGAAACCGAAGCUAAUUCCGCAUAACAUUCCUUGGACCUCGGUCUGGGGAUUCAAAGCCGUAAGGCGUCGGAGGAGGAACCCGCGCACGAUUAGUUAGUUGGCAGGGUAACGGCCUACCAAGACUUUGAUCGUUAGC